Nomascus leucogenys (northern white-cheeked gibbon) is the source of this 1872-nucleotide long non-coding RNA. RefSeq lists it as uncharacterized. NCBI's taxonomy places the organism in Eukaryota, Metazoa, Chordata, Mammalia, Primates, Hylobatidae. The record is from RefSeq and is a predicted model, not a curated record. The transcript has 7 exons.
UUCGGCGUUACCAGGAGAGACAUGCCGCCAUUAGGGCUUCAUUUCCCUGUAGUCUUCUUUAAAUACCAAAACUGCCCUGGGAAGGUUAAGACAUCAGUUUCUUCAUACUUUAGAGCAAAUGGGAUUGAUUCCCAGGUCCUCCUUUCUGUAAACUGGGUUUUUGCCUCCUCACCAAGAGACUGGGCUCCCUGGACGAGCAGAGGCUGCUGGGUUCAGUAUCUGAACACUUUUGCUGAAGGUCUCUGGAAAGCUCCCUGUGUUAAUUCUGGAUGAGACUAUGUCCGGGCCAGCCACUUCCUGAGCCUCCUUCCGUGUGCAUUGGCCUGCUGCAUGCUGGAGACCCGCGGCACAGCUGCCAAGUGCCCCUGUGUGGCUCUGUGAUCUUGGGACAGUCACUUCCUCUCUCUGGUUGUCAGUCUUCUCAUCCGUAAGAUGGAAUAAAAAGGCCUACCUCAUUGGGCUCGUGUGGGUGAGGAGAACUGAAGAAUCUGAGAGCGCGGCACGAGCCAGAGGCUACGGAAAACACUGCCCUCCCAUGCUCCACCUUGGAGAGACCCAGAAAAGAACAAGCUUCAUUUGAAAAAAAGGAAAACAGCUCAGGCAAUGGGGGUGGCUUAAAGGCACUCUACAGUGUGCGGAUGCCUUCCGCUUCUUCCAUCUGCCCUGUCUCUCCAAGAACCCCUAUGGCCCCGGGGUCAGAGCAGAGCUGAGUGCAGAAAUGAAAAUCUAUGGCCAUGUGUUCCAAAACGAUGAAGAAUUUCAAGAUGGUGGCAGUGGUAAAAUCCUCCUCCAGGAAAAAUCUGUCCUUGGGCCAAUGUGUAAACACUUGCUGAGGAACUUGGAGUAACUUGCAGCGUCUUGCAGUAUUGUGAAACCAACAGCUUGUUCACAAUUCUUCUGAAUUUCUCGGGCAAUUUGAAGUGGAGUACCUGUACCAAUGUGAAAUGACACAAAUUUCAGUGAAGCUCAACAACGAAAAGCAAAAAGAAACAAAGAGGAAGCAACUGAAACAACAUCUAGAUGUAUUUAAAAAUAUACAAUGCCUCCAAAAUCAGGUGUCAUUAAUGAAAAUUCUGAAGAAAUGCCACCAGACAUAGCCAAUGCACCUAUACUAUUGUUAUUCAUUUCCUGCUUUUCACAGAAAACAAUUUUGUUGCAUGGAAGAUUGUGAACUUCAAAGGGCAGAGGGGAAACUCUCCCUUGGCCCCUACCCCUCCAAGGCCCCACUUUUUCGUCAACACUCCUUGGACGCAGCUGAGGUAUGAACAUGACGUGGUCCUGAAUGAGGCUGAGUCUUUGGGCACGGAAGACCCGGGUUAAUAAAAACAGGAAGGUAAGAAAAGAAAAGAAAAAUCAAGACACAUCAUAGGACUAAAUUCCUAUUAUUUAUCCACUCAAGAUUGACCACCCCUUUGGGCCAGACAGUCGUACCCCCAUGUACCAGGUGGGCACAUGAAGACAUAAGAAGUGCUGUGAUGGUUCAUUUUGCAUGUCACCUUGCGUGGAGUAUGCCGACUCAUUGUUUGGUCAAACACUAGUCUGGUCAUGGUGGUAAAGGUAUUUUUUUAGAUGAAAUUAACGCUUAAAUCAGUAAAGCAGGUUACCCACCAUACUACAGGUGGGCCUUGUCCAAUCAGUUGAAGGCAUUAAGAGCAAAGAUUGAGGUUUCCUAAAGAAGAUGGAAUUCUCCUUGAGACUACAACAUAGAAACCCUGUCUGAGUGUCCAGCCUGCUGCCCUGUGGAAUUCGAACUCAGGACUCCAGUCUGUGGCAUUAACCCUCACUUAACUCUUCAGCCUGCCAGCCUGCCCUGUGGAUUUCGGACUUGCCAGCCACACAAUUCCUUAAAAUAAAUCUCUGUCUCUGUCUGUU